AGAGUUUGAUCAUGGCUCAGGAUGAACGCUAGCGACAGGCUUAACACAUGCAAGUCGAGGGCAGCAUAAAAGUAGCAAUACUUGGUGGCGACCGGCGCACGGGUGAGUAACGCGUAUGCAACCUACCUAUCAGAGGGGAAUAACCCGGCGAAAGUCGGACUAAUACCGCAUAAAACAGGGACACCGCAUGGUGAUAUUUGUUAAAGAAAUUCGCUGAUAGAUGGGCAUGCGUUCCAUUAGGUAGUUGGUGAGGUAACGGCUCACCAAGCCGACGAUGGAUAGGGGAACUGAGAGGUUGGUCCCCCACACUGGUACUGAGACACGGACCAGACUCCUACGGGAGGCAGCAGUGAGGAAUAUUGGUCAAUGGGCGAGAGCCUGAACCAGCCAAGUCGCGUGAAGGAAGAAGGAUCUAUGGUUCGUAAACUUCUUUUGCAGGGGAAUAAAGUGCAGGACGUGUCCUGUUUUGUAUGUACCCUGAGAAUAAGGAUCGGCUAACUCCGUGCCAGCCGCCGC
Molecule: ribosomal RNA, 516 nt
Filed under: uncultured bacterium
Lineage: Bacteria
Description: bacterial SSU rRNA
Rfam family: Bacterial small subunit ribosomal RNA
Source: RNAcentral